AUUGAACGCUGGCGGCAUGCCUUACACAUGCAAGUCGAACGGUAACGGGCCUUCGGGUGCCGACGAGUGGCGAACGGGUGAGUAAUACAUCGGAACGUGCCCGAUCGUGGGGGAUAACGAGGCGAAAGCUUUGCUAAUACCGCAUACGAUCUACGGAUGAAAGCAGGGGACCGCAAGGCCUUGCGCGGACGGAGCGGCCGAUGGCAGAUUAGGUAGUUGGUGGGAUAAAAGCUUACCAAGCCGACGAUCUGUAGCUGGUCUGAGAGGAUGAUCAGCCACACUGGGACUGAGACACGGUCCAGACUCCUACGGGAGGCAGCAGUGGGGAAUUUUGGACAAUGGGCGCAAGCCUGAUCCAGCCAUGCCGCGUGCAGGAUGAAGGCCUUCGGGUUGUAAACUGCUUUUGUACGGAACGAAAAGCCUUCUUUUAAUACAGGAGGGUCAUGACGGUACCGUAAGAAUAAGCACCGGCUAACUACGUG
Molecule: ribosomal RNA, 482 nt
Filed under: uncultured bacterium
Lineage: Bacteria
Description: partial 16S ribosomal RNA
Rfam family: Bacterial small subunit ribosomal RNA
Source: RNAcentral